RNAcentral lists this long non-coding RNA (308 nucleotides) under Volvox carteri. RNAcentral's name for it is "long non-coding RNA (VCAR_LNC003668)". Lineage: Eukaryota; Viridiplantae; Chlorophyta; Chlorophyceae; Chlamydomonadales; Volvocaceae. The record is from RNAcentral.
AUUGGAUGCAGCAAGGGAAGUGUUACCGUUGCGGCGUUCAGAACGACCACAUCAGCUCGCGCUGUCCGAAUCCGCUGGUAACACCGGAGAUGUUUCGCCAGCCAGAGAACCCAUAGGAGUUUGCCCAGUCGUUUUCGUGUGGCACGCGUACUGGGGACAUGAAUUCGCAUGAUUUCCGAAUUAUUGAUUAUGAGUUGUUGCGACAACUAGAGCGUCGAAUUGGACGAACGUUUUCUUUGGACGCUGCUGCGAACGAUGAUGGAAGUAAUUCUGUCUGUAAGAUGUUUGCUUCACCGACUCGCUCCUUU